RNAcentral lists this ribosomal RNA (120 nucleotides) under Dasypus novemcinctus (nine-banded armadillo). The record is from RNAcentral. Lineage: Eukaryota; Metazoa; Chordata; Mammalia; Cingulata; Dasypodidae.
ACAUAUGGCCAUACUACCCUGAACAUGCCCGAUGGUCAUUUGAUCCUGGGAGCAGAAGAGGGUUGGGCCUGGCUAGUACUUGGAUGGGAGACUGCCUGGGCAUACCAGGUGCUGUAGGCU